Molecule: non-coding RNA, 574 nt
Filed under: Pan troglodytes (chimpanzee)
Lineage: Eukaryota; Metazoa; Chordata; Mammalia; Primates; Hominidae
Source: RNAcentral
ACAACGCUCCUCAGAUAGGGCACUCCCCAAGCAGGGGUAUAGCUUGGCUCCGGGACCGUGGUCCCGCGGAGGCCGACUUCAGUUUCUGAAUUUGCCCACCAGUGGCUUCGAGGGCCAAGCCCCCAGGCCCUGCUGGUCCAGGAGAAGAGACAGCUGCCGGCGAGCCUCCUGCAGGGCCCUGCGGGCGAUGACCAGGCCAUGGCAGUCAUGGAGCUGCUGGCCCGAGAACUCCAGCCAGCCAGCACAGCAGCUGCUGCCAGUGCCCAGAGCCACCAGCUUGUAGAUCUCCUUCACGUGGCCCCUGGCACGCGGGAUCUCUGUGCAGGAAGGGGCAGAGACGGCCCAGCCUAAGGCCCAGUAUGGCGAGCGCUCAUCCAACAGGAGGUCAAAGCCAGCGCUCACCAACGCUGCGCAGCGCUGCUCAUGGGUCAGGAUGUUCUCUGCGCCAGGGCGAGAGAGUGCAGGUAGAAGGGGGCCCACGCCUCUCCCCUCAACACUACAGCCUGGGUCCGUGAAUGCUCACCUACCUAUGCUCAGGGGGGCCAGUGGAGGCUGGCUGGAGGUCUGGGGGGAC